This is an RNA transcript of Abrus precatorius (Indian licorice), 2772 nucleotides long. It is a transcript of the gene named phosphatidylinositol/phosphatidylcholine transfer protein SFH9, with no coding region annotated. The record is from RefSeq and is a predicted model, not a curated record. The transcript has 16 exons. Lineage: Eukaryota; Viridiplantae; Streptophyta; Magnoliopsida; Fabales; Fabaceae.
GAAGAGUUGAGUUGAGCUGAUGUAAUUACAUAGGGGACUUUGUUAGAAAAGCAUUAAUGUCUCGUUGUCUCAUGCACUCAUGUCUUAAGAGCCAGGUUUUUCGAGUUCUUUUGAUUAUUCUGUUCCCAUGCCCUUAACGUAGAGUCAAGAGUACCAGAUCCCACCUCCACCUCCCGUUAAUAAACGGCUCAACUGGUUACUAGAAUGUUAUCAACCAGUAGAACAAACAGCCGCCGUUAGCGCGUAGCAGAAGCGGCCGUUGCACGCCACUGCUAAACGCUUUUGACAGCGACGUGCCUCUCACUUUGUUCCUACGGUUCGAUUCCUACGUUGGUGCUCUCUCUCUCUCUAUCUAUCUCCCUCUCUCUCUCUCUCUCUCUCUAUCUCUCCCCCCUCUCUCUCUCUCCGUGUCUCUGUCUGCGGCACCGUACGGAAUUCGGUACUCUGAGGAAGAGGGGGCGCCAUUUCGAUCUCAGAAAGCGAUUCCCAUUUUGCUCUUUUCCUUGUCCACUCUCCCUCAGAGGCAAUCUAGGUGCAAAUUGCUUGCAUUUUAUAGAAUGCCAGGAGAAGAACUAUUAGUUCAAGAUGAUGAGAGGGGUAGAAGUAUGGAGCCUGAAACCUCUGAGGAUGAGUGGCGGAAGUCUCGAGCUAGAUCUCUUCGAAGAAGAGCAAUGACUGCUUCAACGAGACUUACAUAUAGUCUUAGGAAGCGUAAUCCACGUGUAUCCGAUUAUGAAUUUGCUUCAAUUUUCAUAGAAGAUGUACGUGAUGCUAGUGAGGAAGUAGCUGUGAAUUCAUUACGUCAGGCUCUACUUACAAGAGAUCUACUACCAGAUUCCCAUGAUGAUUAUCAUACAAUGCUGAGGUUUUUAAAAGCCAGAAAGUUUGACAUUGAUAGAACAGUCCAGAUGUGGGAUGAUAUGCUCCAUUGGAGGAAGGAGUAUGGAGUAGAUUCUAUUUUACAGGAUUUUGUAUACAAGGAGUAUGAUGAGGUUCAGCGUUAUUAUCCUCAUGGUUACCAUGGUGUGGACAAAGAGGGCCGACCAGUUUAUAUUGAAAGACUUGGCAAAGUUGAACCCAGCAAGCUGAUGAAUGUCACAACAGUAGAUCGACUUUUAAAGUAUCAUGUUCAGGGAUUUGAGAAAAUGUUUAAAGAGAAAUUCCCAGCAUGUUCUAUUGCAGCAAAGAGGCAUAUAGAUAAAACAACAACAAUACUUGAUGUGCAUGGCGUGAAUUGGAUGAGCUUUAGUAAACUUGCUCAUGAUCUCGUUAUGCGCAUGCAAAAAAUUGAUGGUGAUAACUACCCUGAGACAUUAAACCAGAUGUUCAUUGUUAAUGCUGGUAGUGGGUUCAAGCUACUGUGGAGUACUGCAAAAGGCUUUCUUGAUCCAAGGACCACAGCCAAAAUACAUGUUUUAGGCAACAAGUUUCAGAGCAGAUUGUUGGAGGUUAUAGACUUAAGCCAACUUCCAGAUUUCUUGGGUGGCAGUUGUUCAUGCCCAAAUGUUGGAGGGUGUCUUAGAGCAAACAAGGGACCUUGGAAUGAUCCUGACAUUUUGAAACUAUUACAUUCUAGAGAAGCAAUGAAGCUUACAAAAUUUGGAAGUUCUUCUGUUGCUAAUGAAAUAGAUGCGAAUUCAUAUGCCAGCAAGGUAACAAGAACUGAAAGAUCUGAAACCGUAUCCGCUGGAUCAUCAUCACCAACACAAUUGAGUCCUUCAGCCUUCAUACAAUCUGUUCCUUCUAGUGAGAAAAAAAGGAUGAGAGAUUGUGCACCUAUUGGCAACUUGCUUGAGCCAGUCAAUGCUGCCAGAGAAGUUGGGGAUGUUGAUUCAACAAGUGAUUCAAGCAACAAUUUUCUGAGAAGAGCACCAGAGAAGCCAAUUUCCUAUAUCACAAGUAUUUUGGUUCAAAUCACAGUGAAAUUUUUGACUUGUAUUUACCUAGUAUUUGUGGCACUGGGGAAAUGUUUUGUGGUUCGCUCUGUAGACAACCAAUCAGGAAGCAGUCAGUCAGCACAAUCCAUUUCCCGGGAACAAUUAAUUACUCCAGCAAUAAAAGAGCCACUUUGGCAGAGGUUGCAGAAUUUAGAGGCUGUAGUAACUGAGAUGGCCAAUAAACCUAGGACAAUUCCUCCUGAGAAAGAGGAUAUUCUUCAAGAGUCCUUGAGUCGGAUAAAGUCUAUAGAAUAUGACUUGCAGAAAACAAAGAAGGCACUGCUGGCAACUGCCUCAAAACAAGUUGAGCUUGCUGAGUCAUUGGAAAGCUUAAAGGAUAAUAGAUUUGAUGGGACGAACUCAUGUUGGCCUAAAAAUAGUAAAUGUUAUGCUCCAGGAAGAUGAGUAUUUGCAGAGGUUGCUAGUAGUCCAUUGUUUUUGAUACUCUACAGCAGAAUUACUACCAGAGAACUUCUAUUGGCUUAUAUAAAGGAAUUAGUCUCAAUUCUCAUAGGUUUGAGGAACGGGCUAUGGGGAGUAGAUAGGCCCAAUGUAUAGCAGGCAACAACAAAAAAUUUAUUUGAAUUGUGGACUCCCAAUUACUCCUUUUCAAUGUAUAACAGAGUGGUAACCACAUAUAUUUUCUUAUUGGCUUUUCUGUACAGAGGACACAGAUACAAAGCAUGUUACUCAAGUUCAGAUGUAUUUUAAUACCAAUUGCAUGUAUGCAUAAAAGGAAACAUUUUCUGUAAUAUAUUGUAACACAUGGCGAGGGCAUAACAUUAAAUUUUCGAUUUUACUAGAGGAUACGAUAUUCUAAACAAUUCCUAGUUUU